Molecule: ribosomal RNA, 979 nt
Filed under: uncultured bacterium
Lineage: Bacteria
Description: bacterial SSU rRNA
Rfam family: Bacterial small subunit ribosomal RNA
Source: RNAcentral
UGCAGUCGAACGGCAGCAUGAUCUAGCUUGCUAGAUUGAUGGCGAGUGGCGAACGGGUGAGUAAUACACCGGAACGUGCCCUGUAGUGGGGGAUAACUAGUCGAAAGAUUAGCUAAUACCGCAUACGACCUGAGGGUGAAAGUGGGGGACCGCAAGGCCUCAUGCUAUAGGAGCGGCCGAUGUCUGAUUAGCUAGUUGGUGGGGUAAAGGCCCACCAAGGCGACGAUCAGUAGCUGGUCUGAGAGGACGAUCAGCCACACUGGGACUGAGACACGGCCCAGACUCCUACGGGAGGCAGCAGUGGGGAAUUUUGGACAAUGGGCGAAAGCCUGAUCCAGCAAUGCCGCGUGUGUGAAGAAGGCCUUCGGGUUGUAAAGCACUUUUGUCCGGAAAGAAAUGGCUCUGGUUAAUACCUGGGGUCGAUGACGGUACCGGAAGAAUAAGGACCGGCUAACUACGUGCCAGCAGCCGCGGUAAUACGUAGGGUCCAAGCGUUAAUCGGAAUUACUGGGCGUAAAGCGUGCGCAGGCGGUUGUGCAAGACCGAUGUGAAAUCCCCGAGCUUAACUUGGGAAUUGCAUUGGUGACUGCACGGCUAGAGUGUGUCAGAGGGGGGUAGAAUUCCACGUGUAGCAGUGAAAUGCGUAGAGAUGUGGAGGAAUACCGAUGGCGAAGGCAGCCCCCUGGGAUAACACUGACGCUCACGCACGAAAGCGUGGGGAGCAAACAGGAUUAGAUACCCUGGUAGUCCACGCCCUAAACGAUGUCAACUAGUUGUUGGGGAUUCAUUUCCUUAGUAACGUAGCUAACGCGUGAAGUUGACCGCCUGGGGAGUGCGGUCGCAAGAUUAAAACUCAAAGGAAUUGACGGGGACCCGCACAAGCGGUGGAUGAUGUGGAUUAAUUCGAUGCAACGCGAAAAACCUUACCUACCCUUGACAUGCCACUAACGAAGCAGAGAUGCAUUAGGUGCUCGAAAGA